ACUAAAUAGAUACCCUGGUAGUCCACGCCGUAAACGAUGGAUACUAGCUGUUCGGAGCAAUCUGAGUGGCUAAAGCGAAAAAAGUGAUAAGUAUCCCACCUGGGGAGUACGCACGCAAGUGUGAAACUCAAAGGAAUUGACGGGGGCCCGCACAAGCGGUGGAGCAUGUGGUUUAAUUCGAUGAUACGCGAGGAACCUUACCAGGGCUUAAAUGUAGAUUGACAGGACUGGAAACAGUUUUUCUUCGGACAAUUUACAAGGUGCUGCAUGGUUGUCGUCAGCUCGUGCCGUGAGGUGUCAGGUUAAGUCCUAUAACGAGCGCAACCCCUGUCGUUAGUUGCCAGCGAGUCAUGUCGGGAACUCUAACGAGACUGCCAGUGUAAACUGUGAGGAAGGUGGGGAUGACGUCAAAUCAUCACGGCCCUUACGUCCUGGGCCGCACACGUGCUACAAUGGUAGGUACAGAGAGCAGCCACUGCGCGAGCAGGAGCGAAUCUACAAAAACCCGUAUCUCAGUUCGGAUCGGAGU
This 529-nucleotide ribosomal RNA is filed under the name uncultured bacterium. RNAcentral's name for it is "bacterial SSU rRNA". It matches the Rfam family "Bacterial small subunit ribosomal RNA", at positions 772 to 1304 of the family's 1533-position model. The record is from RNAcentral.